AAUGAUCUAUAUGAUGAUUCUUCUGUUUAUUGAGUAUGCUACUCAUACUAUUUGAAUCUCUAUGAUGAUUUGUACGAUGGUUCUUCUGCUUAUUGAGUAUGUUGCUCGUGUUAAUUGAAUCUCUAUGAUGAUUUGUAUGAUGGUUCUUUUGUAUGCUACUCAUACUAGUUGAAUCUCUAUGAUGAUUAGUACAAUGAUUCUUUUGUAUGCUACUCGUACUAGUUGAAUCUUUAUGAUGAUUUGUACGAUAAUUCUUCUAUUUACUAAGUAAGCUGCUCGUACUAGUUAAAUCUCUAUGAUAAUUUGUACGAUGGUUCUUCUGUUUACUGAGUAUGUUGUUCGUAUUAAUUGAAUCUCUAUGAUCAUUUAUAUAAUGGUUCUUCUAUUUACUGGGCAUGUUGCUUGUACUAGUUAAAUCUCUAUGAUGAUUUGUAUGAUUGUUCUUCUAUUUACAAAGUAUGCUGUUUGUUUGAUUUCUAUUGGAUAUGUAAUACCUUCGGUUUUGCCAAAUGUGAUAAAACAUGUCUGUAUAGAUGUUGAAUAAUGGUGCUAAUAACUUGGUUAUGUAACUGUUUCACCAGAUUUCCUUAAUAAAAACAAAAGAAUUUUAUGAAUGAUUAAAUGACUUCAUCCCACGAAAGUUCUCCAAGGUAAGAGGUAAUAAAAUAUUAUUCAAGUUUUUUACUUUUUAAAACUUAAUCGUGUAUUUUAAAUACUAUUUUUCUUACUAAAUUUAUAUGUAACUCAACCCUAAUCCCUGUCCCCCAGAUAUUCAAGAAGUUGAGGAUCGUCUCUCUCGAGUUAUCAUGAAGUUUGACUAGACCCAUUCAAGGAUCCUUGACAAUUCUUUAGGACAUAAUUUGAGUGUAAUAGUUAUUUGCACUCUGAUAUAAAAAUCCUAUACGAACUUUACUUUUUGUAUUUAAUACUUGGGAUUGCCAAUUAUGCCCCCUUAAUGUAAGUUCUUAAAACUUAGUUUAUUCUGUAAAGAAUUUCUAUUUUCUUCUUCAAUGUCAAAAAAAAUGUUUUUAGCACUCAGAACUACUUAGGUAAUUGGCCCCCUUUUACUCACUCGGUAUUAGGGAUGUUACACCGUGCAUAUAAAAAGAGGAACUUGGAACAAGGAAGAGACAAGCCUAGAGGAGAAGAAACUACAAAAAAGAAAGAGAAAUGUUGUGUUUGCGUGAAAAAAAAAAGAGAAGAAGAAAGAGAAGGAAGAGUGGAAAAAAGAGAGGUUGAAGAUAUAUAUAUAUAUAUAUCUAUGUAUAUAU
RNAcentral lists this long non-coding RNA (1271 nucleotides) under Carica papaya (papaya). RNAcentral describes it as "long non-coding RNA (CPAP_LNC009987)". Lineage: Eukaryota; Viridiplantae; Streptophyta; Magnoliopsida; Brassicales; Caricaceae. The record is from RNAcentral.